RNAcentral lists this ribosomal RNA (497 nucleotides) under uncultured bacterium. Its description in RNAcentral is "partial 16S ribosomal RNA". It matches the Rfam family "Bacterial small subunit ribosomal RNA", at positions 28 to 507 of the family's 1533-position model. The record is from RNAcentral.
GAUGAACGCUGGCGGCGUGCCUAAUACAUGCAAGUCGAGCGAACAGACGAGGAGCUUGCUCCUCUGACGUUAGCGGCGGACGGGUGAGUAACACGUGGAUAACCUACCUAUAAGACUGGGAUAACUUCGGGAAACCGGAGCUACUACCGGAUAAUAUAUUGAACCGCAUGGUUCAAUAGUGAAAGACGGUUUUGCUGUCACUUAUAGAUGGAUCCGCGCCGCAUUAGCUAGUUGGUAAGGUAACGGCUUACCAAGGCGACGAUGCGUAGCCGACCUGAGAGGGUGAUCGGCCACACUGGAACUGAGACACGGUCCAGACUCCUACGGGAGGCAGCAGUAGGGAAUCUUGCGCAAUGGGCGAAAGCCUGACGGAGCAACGCCGCGUGAGUGAUGAAGGUCUUCGGAUCGUAAAACUCUGUUAUUAGGGAAGAACAAAUGUGUAAGUAACUAUGCACGUCUUGACGGUACCUAAACAGAAAGCCACGGCUAACUACGUG